Molecule: unclassified non-coding RNA, 314 nt
Filed under: Hevea brasiliensis (rubber tree)
Lineage: Eukaryota; Viridiplantae; Streptophyta; Magnoliopsida; Malpighiales; Euphorbiaceae
Source: RNAcentral
GUAACAUAAUGAUAGACUGGAUUGUGAAGGACAGUUUGUAGAAUUGGAUUUCUAAUUUACUAAGUUUGUUUGGAAAUGGUUAUAAAUAUUUGUGAGUGCUUGUAGUGAUGGAAAGCUCUUCCCUUGAACUUGUAGUGAAAUACACAUGCAAAAGUCUUACACUGAAAGUUCUCAAUAUGAAAUCUUAUAUUAAUGUUACCAGUUUUAACUAAUUUACUAAUUCAGUUAAUUUGAAAGUAACUUGUUGAAGAAAGAGUUAGUUGACUUGAAGAUUAGAUUGAAUGCCAAUAAUUUGGUCAAGACUUGGGAUAAAU